AAAUAAACAUUAAAAAAAAUUUUUUUUUAAAUAUCAUUUGAGAAUCUUUAAUAGAGAGUUGAAAUUGUAGAUUGGCAGCAUGCAAGUCUGAUUUGGCCUGAAAACGUGUUUAUUUUCGUUUGUCCAAAGCAAGUGCUGCUUUGUUUUUUGUUUUGUUUUUAAUUAAUGUAAAAGUUGCCAUUUUGAAGUGUACUAUUCAGUGGUUUUUAGUAUAUUCACAAUGUUGUGCAACCAUAACUACCAUCUAAUUAUAGAACAUUUCCAUCAUCCCAUAAAGAAACCCUGUAACCUUAAUUAAGCAGUCACUUGCCAUUUUUUAUCUUCCCCUAACCCCUAGAAGCCACUAAUCUACUUUCUGUCUCUGUGGAUUUGCCUGGUUUGAACAUUUCAUAUAAAUGGAAUCAUACGACGUAGGGCCUUUUGUGUCUGACUUCUUUUGCAUGGCAAAACUGCUGCUUCUUUCACUUUCAAGGUCUACCCUUGUUGUAGCAUGUAUCAGCACUUAAUUCUUUAUUAUGAAUAAUAUUUCCUUGUAUAGAUAUACCACAUUUGUUAAUUUAUUAGUUGAUGGACAUUUGACUUGUUUCCACUUUUUGGCUAUUAGAAUAAUGCUACUAUGAACAUCCAUGUACAGAUUUUUGUGGAAACAUGUUUUCAUGUGUGUCCUUUUUUCAUUUUUUAAUUUGAAUUAGCUGUGAACAUUUAAAAUUGGAAAUUAGAAGAUUUGGUAACUAUGGAGCAUUAUUUUUGCCUAUCAACAAUGGACUGUACCUGAAUAAUGGUUGACCCUCCUUAGAAUUCUCAUUCUCUGCUUUACCUUAGUUCUCUCUUCCAUCCCCUAAGCUUGGGCUUAGUCUCAGCAGCUUAGCCGAGUACUUAUAUUUUUUCUUUCUUAUGAUAUAGUUAAAGUGAAAAAAUAUUAUAUUCAUGUGUCUAUAAAAUAAUGAAAAACACAAAAGAAGAGAAAGGAAAAUGGGAGAAUCUCCUUGUUUGCAACAAUGAAGAAAAUUCCUACAGUUAUAAUAGGUAAAGUAAGCUACAGAUGAUUGUCUUGUAGCCAUUACUAACAUGGUAUCUGAUAUAAAGCUUAAAUUCAACAUGGCAAAAUAAUAUAACUUAGUGUAGUGUAUUAGUCUGCCCCGUCUGCCAUAACAGAAUAUAAGACUUGGUGGCUUAAACAGCAGACAUUUAUUUUCUCACAGUUUGGGAGGCUAGAAGUCCCUGAUUGAGGUGCCACCUGACUCAGUUUCUGGUGAGGGCUUCCUUCCUGGCUUAUAAAUGGCUGCCUUCUUUCUGUGCCCUCGCAUGGCCUCUUCUAUUUUGUAUGUGUGUUGAGAGUGAUCUGGUGUUUCCCUUUUCUUACAAGGGCACCAGCCCUCUUGGAUUAGGGCUCCACCUUUUUGAUAUCAUUUAACAAUAAUUACCUCACUGAGGGCCCUGUCUCCCAAUACAGCCACAUUUGGGGAUUGGGGCUUUAUCAUAUGAAUUUAGGGAGGGACAUAAUUCACUCCAUACAUGUAGUAUUGUAUUGUGAAACCGUCCACAGUAAUAUGAUGGGUAAUGGAAAAGACACCUGGUCGAGAAAUUGGGAAAGACGGAGAGAGCUGAAAUUUUAAGAUGUGUUUCUUCAUGCUAUUAUGAGCAGUUAUAUAUGGAGAUUUUUUCUUUUCCUUUAAUUCCAGUGCAGUUACCAUAGAGCGUUAAUAUUAGUUUCAGGUGUAUACAAUGUAAUGAUUCAGCAAUUCCAUCUGAAUUGGUUGAUGAGCAUUUAUAUAUUUUUAAGAAAAAAUACUACAUGUGUACCAAAACCUUUUUUUUAAUGUUGAGUUUGGAUCCAGCAAAAAAUGUGUCCAACUAGACUAUUUGCAUACAUAAGUACAGUUGCAAAUACUCUUAACUCAUAGUGAAUAUACUACUAGGAACAAACGGACAAGAAGUUAAGUCAUUUGUUAAAUUUUGUAUCAUAGCUGAUGAAAGCACAGAUAUUAAUAUUAUGCAAAUAUACAUAUAAUACAAAUAUUAGUGAUUUAUUUGUAGCAUCUAUGAGCCUUUUUAAAUGACAAGAGUUUAUUUGAAUAUGGUUCCUUAGUGAGUCCAAAUUUAGGAGAUGGCUUUUUUGUACAUUGAGAGAAAAGUUUUAUUUAUUAAUUUUUUUUUUUUUUUUUUAGUUUUAAAUCUAAAUGUAGGGGCACCUGGCUGGCUUGCCUGGAGGGGCAUGUGACUCUUGAUCUCUUAACCCCAUGUUACUUGUAAAGAUUACUUAAAAAUAAAAUCUGGGGUGCCUGGGUGGCUCAUUCAGUUAAGUGUCCAACUCUUGAUUUCGACUCACCUCAUGAGCUUACCGUUGAUGGGUUCCAGCCCUGCAUUGGUGGAGCUCUUCAGAGCUCUUCAGGUGGAGCCUGCUUGGGAUUCUUUCUCUCUCCUUUUCUCUCAGCCCUGCUCCUGCCUGCUCUCGCUCUGUCUCUCACUCUCUCUCAAAAUAAGUAAACUUAAAAAAAAAAAAAAAUAGGUGUGCCUGAGUAGCUCAGUCAGUUAAGCAUCUGACUCAGUCCCUGCUCAGGUCUUGAUCUCUGGGUCAUGAAUUCAAGCCCCGUAUUGGAGCUUCAGCAUGGAGCCUACUGAAAGAAAGAAAGAAAGAAAGAAAGAAA
Molecule: long non-coding RNA, 2648 nt
Organism: Acinonyx jubatus (cheetah)
Lineage: Eukaryota; Metazoa; Chordata; Mammalia; Carnivora; Felidae
Exons: 2
Source: RefSeq, a predicted model, not a curated record